GAUAUGUCAAUCUAUUAAUUGUUGCAAUAUUAUAUUGGAUGUAGGCAAAUACAUUUAAAGGUGUAGUAAUAUGUGCAUAUUGAUAUUCAUCAAGAUGUACACCAAUGUGUAUAAAGUUGUGUGUACCAAUCUUUUCUUGUGUUUGAUGGAUGAGACUUUUAUUUGGAUGAUCCUUUGAUUGGCUUAAAUUAAUCAUUUUACAUGAUAGUGAUAUUACAUAGUCAAGUGUUAGAUGAAUCAUAAAUUAAAGUGGUACCAUUUGCCUCAAAUUGAUUCUUUGUAUUUCUAUCUGUUCGCAUUGUUUGUGUAUGAUUGCUUGUCCAAUUAAUUGGUCCAUCUGUAUGUCACAUUGAAGUA
RNAcentral lists this long non-coding RNA (357 nucleotides) under Physcomitrium patens. RNAcentral describes it as "long non-coding RNA (PPAT_LNC001278)". The record is from RNAcentral. Lineage: Eukaryota; Viridiplantae; Streptophyta; Bryopsida; Funariales; Funariaceae.